This 76-nucleotide transfer RNA is filed under the name Candidatus Korobacter versatilis. Its description in RNAcentral is "tRNA-Lys". It matches the Rfam family "tRNA". From Rfam's summary of the family: Transfer RNA (tRNA) molecules are approximately 80 nucleotides in length. Their secondary structure includes four short double-helical elements and three loops (D, anti-codon, and T loops). RNAcentral also lists the same sequence under 28 other names. The record is from RNAcentral. Lineage: Bacteria; Pseudomonadati; Acidobacteriota; Terriglobia; Terriglobales; Candidatus Korobacteraceae.
GGGCGCGUAGCUCAACUGGCAGAGCAACUGACUCUUAAUCAGUAGGUUGAAGGUUCGAUUCCUUCCGCGCUCACCA